This 928-nucleotide long non-coding RNA is filed under the name Capra hircus (goat). RNAcentral's name for it is "lncRNA (ENSCHIG00000007334.1)". Lineage: Eukaryota; Metazoa; Chordata; Mammalia; Artiodactyla; Bovidae. The record is from RNAcentral.
GGGAGAAAAGGCGAUUCAGAUAAAAGCGAUAUUUCCUUGCAGAAAGAGCAAUAUGCACAAAAGUGGAGGAGGGGAAAUAUGAUAUAUUGAAAAAUAGUUUAUCUGGUUGGUGUAUGGAAGGAAGUGGCAGGAGAUGAGGUUAGCAUUAGAUCUUCAAGGUCUUUGCAUGUCACCCAAAGGAAUUUGGACUUUAACCAGUGGGCUAGGAAGCCACUGAAAUAUUUUAAGCCAGGAAGUGAUGCAACAUGAUCAUAGUUUUAUUUUGGAGUAACAAAUCUGUCAGUAGUGUGAAGAAUUAACUGAAGUCCAGAGGAGUGUCUGAGGUCAAGACUACCAGCUGGGUAACUUGAAAUAAUCCAUAUGAGUAAGAAGAGAUGAACUAGUGUCAUGACAAUAAAGAGAAACAUACUGGGGAAUUAUUGAGACGGUAGAGGCACACAUUUGGAUGAGUGGGAAAACUGACAGUCAUCAAGGAUAACUUCUUGGCUUGUGGUUUGAGGAAUUUGAUCAAUGGUGAUAUCAUUACCCUGGAGAAACAAGUGUGAGACUAAAACCUCAUCUCAGAUUUAAUUUUAAAAAUGCAAUUUGUCAAAUAGAAGAGGUCCCCAAUGGACAAAAGACCUAAAGAAGACUUGGAUACCGACCACCCUGGGGACUUUGGAUGCAUCUUAGAGUCAACAGAACACUCGAGAGAGAGGGUAGAUCACUGCCAUUUUUAUACCAGGAUAUUAAGGUACCACCACCUCACUCGAUCCUUGGUGAUUGAAUACUUUCAUGAUCCAAAAGUUACUCAGAAGAGUUAUUCUCGGGAUUAAUUUUCCAUUCAUCCAGGAAGCUUUUUUUUUUAAUUAAUGGAAAUUUCUAAGUACCAUCUACAGCCUGAAGGUGAAUGUGAAUUUUUAUAUGAAUUUUGUAUGAAUUUCUUGGA